UUGUUGCUGUUGUUGUUGUUGUUGUUGUCGUCGUCGUCUUCGUUGUUGUUGUUGUUGUUUUGUUGUUGUUGUUGUUGUUGUUGUUGUUGUUGUUGUUGUCGUUGUUGUCACUCUUGUCGUUAAUGUCGUUGUUGUCAUUGCUGUUGUUUUUAUCUUUCUUCUCGUUGUUCUCGUGAUUGUCAUUGUUGUCGUCAUUUUCGUUGCUCACGUCGUUGUCGCCUUUAUC
Molecule: long non-coding RNA, 226 nt
Filed under: Hordeum vulgare
Lineage: Eukaryota; Viridiplantae; Streptophyta; Magnoliopsida; Poales; Poaceae
Description: long non-coding RNA (HVUL_LNC009790)
Source: RNAcentral